Molecule: ribosomal RNA, 758 nt
Filed under: Ruegeria sp. MR08-73
Lineage: Bacteria; Pseudomonadati; Pseudomonadota; Alphaproteobacteria; Rhodobacterales; Roseobacteraceae
Description: bacterial SSU rRNA
Rfam family: Bacterial small subunit ribosomal RNA
Source: RNAcentral
CGAGCGCACCUUCGGGUGAGCGGCGGACGGGUUAGUAACGCGUGGGAACAUACCCUUUGGUACGGAAUAGCCUCUGGAAACGGAGAGUAAUACCGUAUGAGCCCUUCGGGGGAAAGAUUUAUCGCCAAAGGAUUGGCCCGCGUUAGAUUAGGUAGUUGGUGGGGUAAUGGCCUACCAAGCCUACGAUCUAUAGCUGGUUUUAGAGGAUGAUCAGCAACACUGGGACUGAGACACGGCCCAGACUCCUACGGGAGGCAGCAGUGGGGAAUCUUGGACAAUGGGGGCAACCCUGAUCCAGCCAUGCCGCGUGAGUGAUGAAGGCCUUAGGGUCGUAAAGCUCUUUCGCCUGUGAAGAUAAUGACGGUAGCAGGUAAAGAAACCCCGGCUAACUCCGUGCCAGCAGCCGCGGUAAUACGGAGGGGGUUAGCGUUGUUCGGAAUUACUGGGCGUAAAGCGCACGUAGGCGGACUGGAAAGUUGGGGGUGAAAUCCCAGGGCUCAACCCUGGAACUGCCUCCAAAACUAUCAGUCUAGAGUUCGAGAGAGGUGAGUGGAAUUCCGAGUGUAGAGGUGAAAUUCGUAGAUAUUCGGAGGAACACCAGUGGCGAAGGCGGCUCACUGGCUCGAUACUGACGCUGANGUGCGAANGUGUGGGGAGCAAACAGGAUUAGAUACCCUGGUAGUCCACACCGUAAACGAUGAAUGCCAGUCGUCGGGUAGCAUGCUAUUCGGUGACACACCUAANGGAUUAANCAUUCC